RNAcentral lists this ribosomal RNA (59 nucleotides) under uncultured Debaryomyces. Its description in RNAcentral is "partial 28S ribosomal RNA". It matches the Rfam family "Eukaryotic large subunit ribosomal RNA", at positions 1 to 56 of the family's 3401-position model. Lineage: Eukaryota; Fungi; Ascomycota; Saccharomycetes; Saccharomycetales; Saccharomycetaceae. The record is from RNAcentral.
GUUUGACCUCAAAUCAGGUAGGAUUGCCCGCUGAACUUAAGCAUAUCAAUAAGCGGAGG